Molecule: ribosomal RNA, 256 nt
Filed under: uncultured bacterium
Lineage: Bacteria
Description: partial 16S ribosomal RNA
Rfam family: Bacterial small subunit ribosomal RNA
Source: RNAcentral
GACGAACCGUGCGAACGUUAUUCGGAAUCACUGGGCUUAAAGCGCGUGUAGGCGGGCCGCCACGUCGGCUGCUGAAAUCCCCCGGCUCAACCGGGGAACGGGCACCGAUACGGAGCGGGCCUCGAGGGGGGUAGGGGGGUCUGGAACUUCCGGUGGAGCGGUGAAAUGCGUUGAGAUCGGAAGGAACGCCCGUGGCGAAAGCGAGGCCCUGGACCCUUACUGACGCUGAGACGCGAAAGCCAGGGGAGCGAACGGG